CUUCACCCCUGCCAGCGACGCGUGGGCUUUUGGGGUGACGCUGUGGGAGGUGCUGACCCGGUGCAGGGAGCAGCCCUACGGGGCGCUGAGCGAUGAGCAGGUGAUCGCCAACGCGGGCCGCCACUGCCGAGGCCAUGGGGAGCCGCGAAGCGGUUAUUAUGGCGGCAACAGCAACGGCGGCUCCGGGGGAUGUCUGUGGGGGUCCCGGCGGCCUCACCCCAUCCCCACCGCGCUAUUUCACCUUCGACAUCCCCCGAACCCCAGCGGGACCCCACGGCCGCGUCGUCGGCACCGCAGGGUCCUGUAUCCACCCGUGGUGCGACGGCCGCCCCCAACGGAAGAAGUCAGCCUGGCCACGCGGCUCCUCCUGGUGUUGUUGGCAGUGGUCAGCGUUCAGGUUUACAGCGCGCCGGCGGAGACGGUGACAACGCAACCUGGGGAGGUUGAGGUGACAACACAGGCGGGAGAGGUGGCCGUGACACCCAAGAUGGUGGCCGUGACACCCAAAGCGGUGACAACACAACCAGGAGAGGUGGCCGUGACACCUGUGGUGGUUGGGAAGACAACACAACCCAGGGAGGUGGUGGUGACAGCCAGGGCGGUCGCGGUGACGCUGAACGUGUCGUCGUUACCACCUCACUUGUCACCACAACCACCACAACCCGAGGAGACGGUCGUGGGGACGUCGCAACCUGAAGGAGCGGUGACACCGGAGAUGGUCGUGGUGACAGCGCGACUUGGGACGACUGUGACACCGCCGGUGACAACGUGCCCACCCACUGGGGGACAGGUGACACCCGUGGGCACCUCCUGCCCACGGUUGUUGCCGUCGCCGACCCCGCGGGCCUACAACAUCACUGCGCACUGACAACCCAGACGGUCACCCUGUUGUCCGGGUGACACCGUACGACUGUCACCUCCGCCUGGAGGUGACACCCAAUGGAUUUGGGGAUGCUUUGGGGGACCGACGCUGCGGUAACGAAGCUGCGGUGGCACCGAGCACCCGUGGGUGCCUCUACCUCACCCUCAGAGCCCCAGUUCUUUGUGGGUCGCUCCGAUAUUUAUUGGUUGGUUGUAUUUAUUGAAGGGAUUAUUUAAUUGUAGGGUAUUUAAUAUUGAACACUAUUUAUUUCGGGGCCGUUUAGCCCCGAUUUUGGAUUAUUUAUUACAGAAAGUGUUGUUUACAACGCGUGCCGUCGCUGCGUCGUCAUUGGAGCACCGCACCCAUGGGAAGGGGGCUGCGUCCAAACUGAAGGAUUCGGUGGUUUUUUGACCCAAUUUGUAGGGCUUCGUCGUGGAACGCAAAAAGGAAACGCCGCGUUUGGGUCCCGAAGUCCCAUUUUUGGGUGGAGAAAUCCUGUUUUGGGGUCGGCAAAAGGUUUUGGGUAGAAAAAGGUGACUUGGAGGGGGAAAAAAACACCGUUUUUUAGUCAGAAAAGCCACUUUGAGGUGGGAAAAUACUACUUUUAGAUAGAAAACGUGGAUUUUUAGUUAAAUGAGUCGUUCUAGGUAGAAAAACUCAAUUUUUUAGGAAGGAAGGAAAGGAUCAGUUUUUAGGUAGAAAGGACCGUUUUUGGAGUGGACAGAAAACUAAGUGGACUCGAGAGUUUUUAGGUGCAAAAGUCCGUUUUUUACACGGAAAAGGCCAUUUUUGGGUCGGAAAACUCAAGUUUCCACUUUUCAGUUAGAAACAUUACUCUUUUCAGGUAGAAAACGACAAGUUUUUAAGGUAGGAAAAGCUCUUUGUGUCAGAAAACGUAAGAUGGGACCAUUUUUAGCUGGAAAAGGCCAUAAUUGAGUCGGGAAAAAGCUUUUUUAGGUCAUUUUGGGUGGAAAAAGAUUGAUUUUGGGUAGAGAACUGGCAUUUGUAAGCAGCAGAAGAUCGCCACUUUUAGGUAGAAAACUCAAUUUUUAUGUAGAGUCCACUUUCACAUUGAAGAUGACCCUUCUCAAGCCAAAGACUGCUGUAUUUUAGUAGAAAAUGGGGUUUUUUGGGUGGGAAAUGGCAUUUUUAGGUGGAGAACCCUUUGCAGAAGAACGUUGUCAGGUGGAAAACACUUUCCAUCCCACCUUGGGCCCCCAAUUCCGAGGCUGCUCUGAAAUAAACCAUCACAUCAGAACUAGGAACAAAAAUCUAUAUAUAUUUUUUUACCUUAAAAAAAAAAAAACAAAAAACUGAAAAAGGACCCAUUUUUUUCUUCCCAUUUUGGGUACAGAAAUGGGGAACUGGGAAAACCCAGCGUGAGCGGCUGCAGCUCCGCGUGGACUCACGAGUCCUCGUUCGGUGCCAACGUCCUGUGCAGCUGACCCAAAUCUGGGUGUUUUCUCCCCAUUUUGUGCGGCCGCAGUUGGGCCCCACGCCUUGAGAAAUCACAGAGACACAAAACAGUAAAAAAAUAAUAAAAAAA
RNAcentral lists this long non-coding RNA (2408 nucleotides) under Meleagris gallopavo (turkey). RNAcentral describes it as "lncRNA (ENSMGAG00000021501.1)". The record is from RNAcentral. Lineage: Eukaryota; Metazoa; Chordata; Aves; Galliformes; Phasianidae.